GACGAACGCUGGCGGCGUGCUUAACACAUGCAAGUCGAACGGAAAGGCCCUGCUUGCAGGGUACUCGAGUGGCGAACGGGUGAGUAACACGUGGGUGAUCUGCCCUGCACUUCGGGAUAAGCUUGGGAAACUGGGUCUAAUACCGGAUGGGAGCCAUCUUUAGUGUGGUGGUUGGAAAGUUUUUUCGGUGUAGGAUGAGCUCGCGGCCUAUCAGCUUGUUGGUGGGGUAAUGGCCUACCAAGGCGGCGACGGGUAGCCGGCCUGAGAGGGUGUACGGCCACAUUGGGACUGAGAUACGGCCCAGACUCCUACGGGAGGCAGCAGUGGGGAAUAUUGCACAAUGGGCGCAAGCCUGAUGCAGCGACGCCGCGUGGGGGAUGAAGGCCUUCGGGUUGUAAACUCCUUUCGCUAGGGACGAAGCUUUGUUGUGACGGUACCUAGAUAAGAAGCACCGGCUAACUACGUG
This 466-nucleotide ribosomal RNA is filed under the name uncultured bacterium. RNAcentral's name for it is "partial 16S ribosomal RNA". It matches the Rfam family "Bacterial small subunit ribosomal RNA", at positions 28 to 507 of the family's 1533-position model. The record is from RNAcentral.